RNAcentral lists this ribosomal RNA (424 nucleotides) under uncultured prokaryote. RNAcentral's name for it is "bacterial SSU rRNA". It matches the Rfam family "Bacterial small subunit ribosomal RNA", at positions 355 to 796 of the family's 1533-position model. The record is from RNAcentral.
UGGGGAAUAUUGGACAAUGGGCGCAAGCCUGAUCCAGCCAUGCCGCGUGGGUGAAGAAGGCCCUAGGGUUGUAAACCCCUUUCAGCGGGGAAGAUAAUGACGGUACCCGCAGAAGAAGCCCCGGCUAACUCCGUGCCAGCAGCCGCGGUAAUACGGAGGGGGCUAGCGUUGUUCGGAAUUACUGGGCGUAAAGCGCGCGUAGGCGGACUUUCAAGUCAGGGGUGAAAUCCCGAGGCUCAACCUCGGAACUGCCUUUGAUACUGUAAGUCUUGAGUCCGAGAGAGGGAAGUGGAAUUUCCGGUGUAGCGGUGAAAUGCGUAGAUAUCGGAAGGAACACCAGUGGCGAAGGCGACUUCCUGGGCCAAUACUGACACUGAGGUGCGAAAGCGUGGGGAGCAAACAGGAUUAGAUACCCCCGUAGUCC